This 623-nucleotide ribosomal RNA is filed under the name Trichoderma longibrachiatum. RNAcentral describes it as "eukaryotic LSU rRNA". The stretch from base 239 to 392 matches the Rfam family "5.8S ribosomal RNA". Lineage: Eukaryota; Fungi; Ascomycota; Sordariomycetes; Hypocreales; Hypocreaceae. The record is from RNAcentral.
AAAACUUACCUUAUGAAAACGAGUACACUCCCAACCCCAAUGUGAACGUUACCAAUCUGUUGCCUCGGCGGGAUUCUCUUGCCCCGGGCGCGUCGCAGCCCCGGAUCCCAUGGCGCCCGCCGGAGGACCAACUCCAAACUCUUUUUUUCUCUCCGUCGCGGCUCCCGUCGCGGCUCUGUUUUAUUUUUGCUCUGAGCCUUUCUCGGCGACCCUAGCGGGCGUCUCGAAAAUGAAUCAAAACUUUCAACAACGGAUCUCUUGGUUCUGGCAUCGAUGAAGAACGCAGCGAAAUGCGAUAAGUAAUGUGAAUUGCAGAAUUCAGUGAAUCAUCGAAUCUUUGAACGCACAUUGCGCCCGCCAGUAUUCUGGCGGGCAUGCCUGUCCGAGCGUCAUUUCAACCCUCGAACCCCUCCGGGGGGUCGGCGUUGGGGAUCGGCCCCUCACCGGGCCGCCCCCGAAAUACAGUGGCGGUCUCGCCGCAGCCUCUCCUGCGCAGUAGUUUGCACACUCGCACCGGGAGCGCGGCGCGGCCACAGCCGUAAAACACCCCAAACUUCUGAAAUGUUGACCUCGGAUCAGGUAGGAAUACCCGCUGAACUUAAGCAUAUCAAUAAGCGGAGGAA